RNAcentral lists this transfer RNA (93 nucleotides) under Allosediminivita pacifica. RNAcentral's name for it is "tRNA-Gly". Lineage: Bacteria; Pseudomonadati; Pseudomonadota; Alphaproteobacteria; Rhodobacterales; Paracoccaceae. The record is from RNAcentral.
GCCGGCCCUUGCCGCGGCGGAUGACCUCGCGCUGCCGCCGCGCGCGGAUCGGCCCGAGACGCGUGAUCGCGUGGUUCAGCACCACGGCCAGCA